GGGAAUGUGGCUUAAUGGUAGAGUGCUUGUUUAGCAUGCAUAAAGCCCUGGGUUCAAUUCCCCAGUACCA
This 70-nucleotide transfer RNA is filed under the name Dipodomys ordii (Ord's kangaroo rat). It matches the Rfam family "tRNA". From Rfam's summary of the family: Transfer RNA (tRNA) molecules are approximately 80 nucleotides in length. Their secondary structure includes four short double-helical elements and three loops (D, anti-codon, and T loops). Further hydrogen bonds mediate the characteristic L-shaped molecular structure. tRNAs have two regions of fundamental functional importance: the anti-codon, which is responsible for specific mRNA codon recognition, and the 3' end, to which the tRNAs corresponding amino acid is attached (by aminoacyl-tRNA synthetases). tRNAs cope with the degeneracy of the genetic code in two manners: having more than one tRNA (with a specific anti-codon) for a particular amino acid; and 'wobble' base-pairing, i.e. permitting non-standard base-pairing at the 3rd anti-codon position. Lineage: Eukaryota; Metazoa; Chordata; Mammalia; Rodentia; Heteromyidae. The record is from Rfam by way of RNAcentral.